GAUGAAGAACGCAGCGAAAUGCGAUAAGUAAUGUGAAUUGCAGAAUUCAGUGAAUCAUCGAAUCUUUGAACGCACAUUGCGCCCAUUAGUAUUCUAGUGGGCAUGCCUGUUCGAGCGUCAUUAAGUCCACUUAAGCCCUGCUUAGUGUUGGGAGACUGCUCCAGCGGUGCUACCCUGUAGCUACCCUGCAGCUCCUCAAAGACAGCGGCGGAGUUGUGGUAUCCUCUGAGCUUAGUAACUUGUUCUAGCUUUCGAGUACACCACUUCCCCUGCCGUAAAACCCUUGAUUUUUAAUGGUUGACCUCGGAUCAGGUAGGAAUACCCGCUGAACUUAAGCAUAUCAAUAAGCGGAGGA
This 355-nucleotide unclassified non-coding RNA is filed under the name soil metagenome. RNAcentral describes it as "partial contains 5.8S ribosomal RNA, internal transcribed spacer 2, and large subunit ribosomal RNA". The stretch from base 1 to 120 matches the Rfam family "5.8S ribosomal RNA", at positions 35 to 154 of the family's 154-position model. The record is from RNAcentral.